GCAGAAAUGUUUACAUGGAAGCGUUCUUAGCGGCGGACGGGUGAGUAACACGUGGGUAACCUGCCUCAAAGUGGGGGAUAGCCUUCCGAAAGGAAGAUUAAUACCGCAUAAGCCUACAGUGCCGCAUGGCACCGUAGGAAAAGGAGCAAUCCGCUUUGAGAUGGACCCGCGGCGCAUUAGCUAGUUGGUGAGGUAACGGCUCACCAAGGCGACGAUGCGUAGCCGACCUGAGAGGGUGAUCGGCCACAUUGGAACUGAGACACGGUCCAGACUCCUACGGGAGGCAGCAGUGGGGAAUAUUGCACAAUGGGCGAAAGCCUGAUGCAGCAACGCCGCGUGAGUGAUGAAGGCCUUCGGGUCGUAAAGCUCUUUGAUCAGGGAUGAUAAUGACAGUACCUGAAAAACAAGCCACGGCUAACUACGUGCCAGCAGCCGCGGUAAUACGUAGGUGGCGAGCGUUGUCCGGAAUUACUGGGCGUAAAGGAUGCGUAGGUGGAUACUUAAGUGGGAUGUGAAAUCCCCGGGCUCAACCCGGGAACUGCAUUCCAAACUGGGUAUCUAGAGUACAGGAGAGGAAAGCGGAAUUCCUAGUGUAGCGGUGAAAUGCGUAGAUAUUAGGAGGAACACCAGUGGCGAAGGCGGCUUUCUGGACUGUAACUGACACUGAGGCAUGAAAGCGUGGGUAGCAAACAGGAUUAGAUACCCUGGUAGUCCACGCCGUAAACAAUGGGUACUAGGUGUAGGAGGUAUCGACCCCUUCUGUGCCGUCGUUAACACAAUAAGUACCCCGCCUGGGGAGUACGGUCGCAAGACUAAAACUCAAAGGAAUUGACGGGGGCCCGCACAAGCAGCGGAGCAUGUGGUUUAAUUCGAAGCAACGCGAAGAACCUUACCUAGACUUGACAUCUCCUGAAUUACCCUUAACCGGGGAAGCCCUUCGGGGCAGGAAGACAGGUGGUGCAUGGUUGUCGUCAGCUCGUGUC
This 983-nucleotide ribosomal RNA is filed under the name uncultured bacterium. RNAcentral's name for it is "bacterial SSU rRNA". It matches the Rfam family "Bacterial small subunit ribosomal RNA", at positions 66 to 1066 of the family's 1533-position model. The record is from RNAcentral.